RNAcentral lists this transfer RNA (73 nucleotides) under Strongylocentrotus purpuratus (purple sea urchin). RNAcentral describes it as "tRNA-Val (TAC) (tRNA-Val-TAC-3 1 to 5)". It matches the Rfam family "tRNA". From Rfam's summary of the family: Transfer RNA (tRNA) molecules are approximately 80 nucleotides in length. Their secondary structure includes four short double-helical elements and three loops (D, anti-codon, and T loops). The record is from Rfam by way of RNAcentral. Lineage: Eukaryota; Metazoa; Echinodermata; Echinoidea; Camarodonta; Strongylocentrotidae.
GUUUCCGUAGUGUAGUGGUUAUCACGUGAGUUUUACACACUCAAGGUCCCCGGUUCGAGCCCGGGCGGAAACU